Molecule: transfer RNA, 70 nt
Filed under: Cavia porcellus (domestic guinea pig)
Lineage: Eukaryota; Metazoa; Chordata; Mammalia; Rodentia; Caviidae
Rfam family: tRNA
About the family: Transfer RNA (tRNA) molecules are approximately 80 nucleotides in length. Their secondary structure includes four short double-helical elements and three loops (D, anti-codon, and T loops).
Source: Rfam by way of RNAcentral
GGAGAUUUAGCUCAGAGGCAUAAGCACCUGCCUUGAAAGCAGGCAGUCCUGAGUUCGAUCCCCGGUACCA